Nyctereutes procyonoides (raccoon dog) is the source of this 1704-nucleotide long non-coding RNA. RefSeq lists it as uncharacterized. The transcript is spliced from 4 exons. The record is from RefSeq and is a predicted model, not a curated record. Lineage: Eukaryota; Metazoa; Chordata; Mammalia; Carnivora; Canidae.
GGCGGGGCGGCUGUGCCUUCUCGAGAGCAGACGGGCCUGGCCCCCCUCAGGCAGCGGCUCGCUAGCCGAGGUUUGGCGCGCAGGUCCCGGCUUUCCGGAGCUUUACUGCUGGAAACCCGGCCUGGAAGAGCGUCCUGGGAUCUCGGGUGAGUUGGCAGGAAGGAAGGUGAUAGCUAGCCUGUGAAGGGGGCCAGAAUAAAUGACCAGCACCAUCCAGAAGAAGGUGGAGAGCCCAACACCGGGAUGAGUACACAAGACUGGGGCUGAGAGACCCACUGAUUUCAGGUGAAUAAGAGUAAUAUGUUUUGCUUUUUUUUUAUUAUUAUUAUUUUUUUAAGGCAUUUUUGCAAAGCGUUGAAAAGCAGUUGAGUGUGCUCAGCUGAAGUUUGCCCCCAUGAGAUGGCUCUGUUGGGGCCCACGCAGCAGGAACCCUUAAGAGAAGGGCUUAGUAGAGACUGUUUGGACUCCAGGAAAUCCAGGCAGGCUAAGGCUUAGGGAAGGGGUCCAGACAAAUGGGGCGUCUGCCUUUGCUUCUGAUGCAGUGAUGGUUUGCAGAGGCACCCCCCAGUGGCCAGUGUGGCCCUGGCUCUGCUCUCAGAUGAGUUGCCUCAGGGACAGGGCACACCCCAGCUUGGAGGUGCCAGGCCUUCAUGUGCCCUAUGUGCACCUUGUGUCGGGGACUGAGGAUGAGGAAGAUCUUCCCUGCAGGGUCCUGGUUCUUAAUCCAGCCAUUGUGUUCAAGGGGGAAGUAAGAUCUUCACAAGCAGAGCACAAGCUGGGUGGGGCUGGGGGACAGAGGGAGGGAGCAUCUGAAGCAGAGUCCACAGCCUAUGGGGAGCCUGACACAGGGCUUGAUCAUGACCCUGACAACAAGACCUGAGCUAAGACCAAGAGUUGGACGCUCCACCGACUGAGCCACCCAGGAGCCCCAAUUCUUUUUUUUUUUUUUUUUUAUGAUUUAAUUAAUGAGAGGCACAGAGAGACACAGAAGCAGAGACAUAGGCAAAGGGAGAAGCAGGCUCCAUGCAGAGCCCAAUGCGGGGACUCGAUCCCAGGACUCCAGGAUCACGCCCUAGGCUGAAGGCAGAUGCCCAACCGAUGAGCCACCCAGGCGUCCCAGGAGCCCCAAUUCUAAACUUUUUUGUGCUAUAUUUGGAUUAUUCCUCCUCUACCCCACAAGGAAGAAAAAUCUAGUUGGGGGAAAAAGAUGUAUGUAGGAUGAGUUUUAAGGUAAGCUGAAGGGUUGAGUGAUUUUUUGCAAUAAAAGUGUUUCUCUUGGCAAAACUUGAAAACUUGGUCUUGAAUAAAUUGUCUUAACUUGGGAUCCCUGGGUGGCGCAGCGGUUUGGCACCUGCCUUUGGCCCAGGGCGUGAUCCUGGAGUCCCGGGAUCGAAUCCCAUGUCGGGCUCCCGGUGCAUGGAGCCUGCUUCUCCCUCAGCCUGUGUCUCUGCCUCUCUCUCUCUGUGUGUGACUAUCAUAAAUAAAUAAAAAUUAAAAAAAAUAAAAAAAAUUGUCUUAACUUGGCUUUUCCUUGCACUGAUUAGCUGAGGCCCAAACAGGACACCAUGUGUGUGCAUGUCCAUGCAUGCACCUGUGGGUGCAGGUAGGAAAGCUCCUCUGGUCCCAAGUCUAUGACAUUCAGGGAAGUACAUGCACAGAGUGUCCGCUCCAGGUUCCCAUGUUGCCUUUCCCAGGCGUUUUUAA